This 161-nucleotide non-coding RNA is filed under the name Yersinia enterocolitica (type O:5,27) str. YE149/02. It matches the Rfam family "GcvB RNA", at positions 1 to 160 of the family's 204-position model. From Rfam's summary of the family: The gcvB gene encodes a small untranslated RNA involved in expression of the dipeptide and oligopeptide transport systems in Escherichia coli. Included several unknown homologues in alignment (Bateman A pers obs). It base-pairs with SorC. Lineage: Bacteria; Pseudomonadati; Pseudomonadota; Gammaproteobacteria; Enterobacterales; Yersiniaceae. The record is from RNAcentral.
ACUUCCCAAGCCGGAACGAAAAGUAGGUUUAGUAUCCAGGUACUGAAUUGCUUUUGGCUUUGUGGUUGUGAUGUUGUGUUUGCAAAUGGUCUGGUAUGCCAGACAUAGUAGCUAAGCUACUGUUUUUUUUCACUUCCUGUACAUUUACCCUGUCUGUCCAU